CUGGCGGCGUGGAUAAGACAUGCAAGUCGAACGCUGAUUAUAGGGUAGCAAUAUUCUGUAGUCGGAGUGGCGAAAGGGUGCGUAACACGUGGGUAAUUUGCCGUGAAGUUGGGGAUAACUCGCUGAAAGGCGAGCUAAUACCGAAUGUGGCCUAACAAGGCUAAAGUUGGGGACCGUAAGGCCUGACGCUUCAUGAUAAGCCCGCGGCCUAUCAGCUAGUUGGUGAGGUAACGGCUCACCAAGGCUAAGACGGGUAGCUGGUCUGAGAGGACGACCAGCCUCACUGGAACUGAGACACGGUCCAGACACCUACGGGUGGCAGCAGUCGAGAAUUUUUCUCAAUGGGGGAAACCCUGAAGGAGCGACGCCGCGUGGGGGAUGAAUGGCUUCGGCCCGUAAACCCCUGUCAUUUGCGAACAAACCUUUCGGUUUAAUAGACCGAAAGCUGAUAGUAGCGAAAGAGGAAGGGACGGCUAACUCUGUGCCAGCAGCCGCGGUAAUACAGAGGUCCCAAGCGUUGUUCGGAUUCACUGGGC
RNAcentral lists this ribosomal RNA (536 nucleotides) under uncultured bacterium. Its description in RNAcentral is "bacterial SSU rRNA". It matches the Rfam family "Bacterial small subunit ribosomal RNA", at positions 36 to 559 of the family's 1533-position model. The record is from RNAcentral.